RNAcentral lists this ribosomal RNA (443 nucleotides) under uncultured bacterium. RNAcentral describes it as "partial 16S ribosomal RNA". It matches the Rfam family "Bacterial small subunit ribosomal RNA", at positions 338 to 795 of the family's 1533-position model. The record is from RNAcentral.
CCUACGGGCGACAGCAGUGGGGAAUAUUGCACAAUGGGGGAAACCCUGAUGCAGCAACGCCGCGUGAAGGAAGACGGUUUUCGGAUUGUAAACUUCUAUCAAUAGGGAAGAAAGAAAUGACGGUACCUAAAUAAGAAGCCACGGCUAACUACGUGCCAGCAGCCGCGGUAAUACGUAGGGGGCAAGCGUUAUCCGGAAUUAAUGGGUGUAAAGGGAGAGUAGGCGGCAAGGUAAGCGAGAUGUGAAAGCCUUAAGCUUAACUUAAGGAUGGCAUAACUAACUGUCUAGCUAGAGUACAGGAGAGGAAAGCGGAAUUCCUAGUGUAGCGGUGAAAUGCGUAGAUAUUAGGAAGAACACCAGUGGCGAAGGCGGCUUUCUGGACUGAAACUGACGCUGAGGCUCGAAAGCGUGGGGAGCGAACAGGAUUAGAUACCCCGGUAGUC